AUGAACGCUGGCGGCGUGCCUCAUACAUGCAAGUCGCGCGAACAGACGAGGAGCUUGCUCCUCUGACGUUAGCGGCGGACGGGUGAGUAACACGUGGAUAACCUACCUAUAAGACUGGGAUAACUUCGGGAAACCGGAGCUAAUACCGGAUAACAUGUUGAACCGCAUGGUUCAACAGUGAAAGACGGUCUUGCUGUCACUUAUAGAUGGAUCCGCGCCGCAUUAGCUAGUUGGUAAGGUAACGGCUUACCAAGGCAACGAUGCGUAGCCGACCUGAGAGGGUGAUCGGCCACACUGGAACUGAGACACGGUCCAGACUCCUACGGGAGGCAGCAGUAGGGAAUCUUCCGCAAUGGGCGAAAUCCUGACGGAGCAACGCCGCGUGAGUGAAGAAGGUCUUCGGAUCGUAAAACUCUGUUAUUAGGGAAGAACAAAUGUGUAAGUAACUAUGCACGUCUUGACGGUACCUAAUCAGAAAGCCACGGCUAACUACGUG
Molecule: ribosomal RNA, 496 nt
Filed under: uncultured bacterium
Lineage: Bacteria
Description: partial 16S ribosomal RNA
Rfam family: Bacterial small subunit ribosomal RNA
Source: RNAcentral